Ipomoea nil (Japanese morning glory) is the source of this 3165-nucleotide RNA transcript. It is a transcript of the gene named putative late blight resistance protein homolog R1B-14, with no coding region annotated. The record is from RefSeq and is a predicted model, not a curated record. NCBI's taxonomy places the organism in Eukaryota, Viridiplantae, Streptophyta, Magnoliopsida, Solanales, Convolvulaceae. The transcript is spliced from 4 exons.
AUAGAUCGAUUGAGAAAUCAAGUCAACGCCAAUGCUCAGACUAAUCAUUGAAGGUGGCAAUGGCUUCUAUUAAGAAUCUUUGAGCUGAAAACGAGCUGAUAGAUUGAGGGAGGGCGGCAGAAAUGGCAGAAGUGGUGGUGAAUUUGCUGAUAGAGAAUUUGACCCAGCUUCUAAAAGAGAACAUCAAGCUCAUCUUCGGCCUCAAGGACGACGUCGAGCAGCUUCUAGAUGACCUGGACGACUUCAAGGCCUUCCUCAGAGAAGCCGGAAAGUCCCGCUACGAAAACGACAUCCUCAAGCGCCUCAUCACCAAGAUCCGGGUGGUGGUCACUAAGGCCGAGGAUCUCAUCGACCAAUAUGUGGUGGCCGCCAAAUCCCACUACGACAGGAAAUGGACACGCUUUCUGGACGUCGAAUACCCGCUUCGUAAACGGGAACUCGCCGAAGAGAUUCAGAAAGUUCGGGUUAGCGUCAACGAGAUCCGACAGGAUCCGGAUUAUGCCCGUAAUGCUCUCCAAGAGGAAGCGUUACCCAACAUAGGAGCCAGGCAGAAUCAGGUUCCUAAUGUGGAGGAAGAGCAUGUGGUGGGGUUUGAUGGCGAGGCUAAUGCUAUAAUCCAACGUCUGGUUGAUGGAUCAAAAGGGUUUGAAGUUAUCUCGAUUGUGGGUAUGCCCGGACUUGGGAAAACCACUUUGGCCAACAAGGUGUUCAAGGAUGAAAGAGUUGAAAAUUACUUCAUGAAUCGUGCCUGGAUUUAUGUUUCUGGAGUGUACAAAAGAAGGGAUGUUUUUGUAAGAAUCUUGAAGGAGCUAACCAAGCAGUACAGGAGCUACGUUGAUGAAAUGAGUGAUGGAGAUUUAGCAUUGGAAAUAAAAAAGUUUUUGGGGUCUGCAAAAUAUUUGAUUGUCCUAGAUGAUGUUUGGAAAGUAGAACACUGGAAUGAGCUCAAGAUUGCAUUCCCACCCAACAAAGGGAGCAGGGUAUUGGUUUCUACACGGUACAAUGAUGUGGCUAUAGAAGCUGAUUCUAAGGGCGACCCUCAUAACUUAAAGUUUUUGAACGAGGAAGAAAGCUGGGAACUACUUCAGAAGAAGCUCUUCCAAAAGAAAAUAUGUCCUGAUGAGUUAAAAAGGCCUGGGAAAAUUAUUGCUAAAAAUUGCAAUGGACUACCAUUAGUAAUGGUGACUAUUGCUGGUGUUCUCUUACAUAAAGCAGAAAUAUCUGCUGAAUGGGACAGGGUAGCUGAAAGCAUGGGUGACUUCCUGAGAAUGAAACUAGAGAGUUACAAGGAUCUAAUACAAAUGAGUUAUGACCAAUUGCCUUAUGACCUGAAGAGUUGCUUCCUAUAUUUCGGGGCUUUUCCUCAAGCAAAUGAGAUCCCAGCUGGAAAACUCAUUAGGUUGUGGAUUGCUGAGGGGUUUGUUAUUGAGGAUGAGAAACAAUUAUUAAGCCUGGAGGACAUAGCUCAUGAAAAGUUGAGUGAUCUUGUCAAUAGGAAUUUGGUGAUGGCUAUGCAAAGAAAGUCGAAUGGACAAAUCAAAACGUGUCGCAUUCAUGACAUGUUGCAUGAGUUCUGCAAGAGUGAGGCCAAAGAGGAGAAUCUAUUUGAAGAAAUCAACAUGAGGAGGCAACUGCAUAAAAUUCGCCGCCUUAGUGUCAGGUGCAAUGUCUCGGAGAUCCUCUAUUCAGGUCUUGCUGCUGAACAUGUCCGCUCUUUGUUAUGCUUCUCCUCAAAUGAACAUGAACUGCCUGCAGUAAAACUUGCAAUCAUUCGUGAAGCAUUUCCACUGCUAAGGGUGUUACACACUGCACCAGAUGAAUCCAUCAUCUUCACACGUUUUCCUAGAGACAUGACUAAGUUGUUCCAUUUAAGGUACAUUGCAAUAUCAACUACCCUCAAGAUCCUUCCUCAAGCCAUUGAUAGUCUGUGGAACAUGCAAACUCUUAUAGUUAGGACACAGCAAAGCACCCUUGAUAUCAAAGGAGACAUAUGGCAAAUGACACGAUUGAGGCACUUGCAAACAAAUUCAUCUGCUCAAUUGCCUCCACCUUCUUCCUCGAAGACCAAGAAAAAUCCUUUUCCAAAUAGAAACUUGCAAACACUUUCAAGGAUUUCACCUGAAAGCUGCACAGCAGCUUCAUUGGUCAAAGCUCCAGAUUUGAAAAACUUGGGUAUACAGGGAAAUUUGGUUAAGCUUUUUGAAACCAACAAGGAUACUGGGUCUAGUUUGUUCAAAAACCUCAGAGAAUUGCACUUGUUGGAGAAAUUGAAGCUGCUGAAUCAUGGUGGGGAGUUGCAAUGCCUCCCUCAAAAGUAUGAAUUUCCACAAAAGAUUAGGAGGCUAACCUUGUCUGGAACACAGCUCAAAUGGAGUGAAUUAUCUGUAUUGGGAUCACUGGAGUACCUUGAAAUUCUCAAAUUGGUAGAAAAUGCAUUCAAAGGAGAUAAGUGGGAGCCAUCUGAAGGUGACUUUCCUCGUCUCCAAUUUUUGAGAAUUGAGAGGACAGAUUUGAAGACAUGGAAGGCUUCUAGCCUCCACUUCCCAUUACUAAAGAGACUCAUUCUUAGACAAUGCCUUAAUCUGGAGGAAGUCCCACCUAGCCUGGCGGACAUAGACAAUCUUCAGGAGAUGGAGCUGAACCUUACCAACUCAAAUGCUGCACUGUCGGCCUGGAACAUUUUACAGAUAAAACAAGGGAAAGAGAAGGAAGUAAAGGAGAAAGGAGGAACCCCCCGGAGAUUCAAGCUCAGUAUCUAUCCUCCUGAUGAGCUCAAACUGAUACAGCAAAUUUAAAAAUGCCAUGGUGUCAUCUAGAUGAUCUUUUGAGUUGUGCAGGUGGUGUCAUCUAGAUGAUCUUUUGAGUUGUGCAGGUGAACCGUAUUGGUCCGCGUCUAAGCGUGGGUUUGUGAAGGGCAUGAAGUGAGGAUCUUUGUAUGCAGAUGAGAUGGUAGCAUUCUGGAAUGGUCUACCCAAUCAUUGUUUUGGUAAAAUUCUGUGUGCUAUGUUUGGUGUGGUGAGAGCUUAUGUUUUUGGAAAUUCAAUUUGUUAUUUGUGGUGGUUGUUAUUCAUUGGGGAUUUGGAACACAUAUUUGAACUAUGGUCAAGAUGAUUGCACUUUGUGUUUUUUUUUUUUUUUUUGAAGGUGCUUGCACUUUGUGUUAUU